AGAGUUUGAUCAUGGCUCAGAUUGAACGCUGGCGGCAGGCCUAACACAUGCAAGUCGAACGGUAACAGAAAGCAGCUUGCUGCUUUGCUGACGAGUGGCGGACGGGGGAGUAAUGUCUGGGAAACUGCCCGAUGGAGGGGGAUAACUACUGGAAACGGUAGCUAAUACCGCAUAACGUCGCAAGACCAAAGAGGGGGACCUUAGGGCCUCUUGCCAUCGGAUGUGCCCAGAUGGGAUUAGCUAGUAGGUGGGGUAAAGGCUCACCUAGGCGACGAUCCCUAGCUGGUCUGAGAGGAUGACCAGCCACACUGGAACUGAGACACGGUCCAGACUCCUACGGGAGGCAGCAGUGGGGAAUAUUGCACAAUGGGCGCAAGCCUGAUGCAGCCAUGCCGCGUGUAUGAAGAAGGCCUUCGGGUUGUAAAGUACUUUCAGCGGGGAGGAAGGGAGUAAAGUUAAUACCUUUGCUCAUUGACGUUACCCGCAGAAGAAGCACCGGCUAACUCCGUGCCAGCAGCCGCGGUAAUACGGAGGGUGCAAGCGUUAAUCGGAAUUACUGGGCGUAAAGCGCACGCAGGCGGUUUGUUAAGUCAGAUGUGAAAUCCCCGGGCUCAACCUGGGAACUGCAUCUGAUACUGGCAAGCUUGAGUCUCGUAGAGGGGGGUAGAAUUCCAGGUGUAGCGGUGAAAUGCGUAGAGAUCUGGAGGAAUACCGGUGGCGAAGGCGGCCCCCUGGACGAAGACUGACGCUCAGGUGCGAAAGCGUGGGGAGCAAACAGGAUUAGAUACCCUGGUAGUCCACGCCGUAAACGAUGUCGACUUGGAGGUUGUGCCCUUGAGGCGUGGCUUCCGGAGCUAACGCGUUAAGUCGACCGCCUGGGGAGUACGGCCGCAAGGUUAAAACUCAAAUGAAUUGACGGGGGCCCGCACAAGCGGUGGAGCAUGUGGUUUAAUUCGAUGCAACGCGAAGAACCUUACCUGGUCUUGACAUCCACGGAAGUUUUCAGAGAUGAGAAUGUGCCUUCGGGAACCGUGAGACAGGUGCUGCAUGGCUGUCGUCAGCUCGUGUUGUGAAAUGUUGGGUUAAGUCCCGCAACGAGCGCAACCCUUAUCCUUUGUUGCCAGCGGUCCGGCCGGGAACUCAAAGGAGACUGCCAGUGAUAAACUGGAGGAAGGUGGGGAUGACGUCAAGUCAUCAUGGCCCUUACGACCAGGGCUACACACGUGCUACAAUGGCGCAUACAAAGAGAAGCGACCUCGCGAGAGCAAGCGGACCUCAUAAAGUGCGUCGUAGUCCGGAUUGGAGUCUGCAACUCGACUCCAUGAAGUCGGAAUCGCUAGUAAUCGUGGAUCAGAAUGCCACGGUGAAUACGUUCCCGGGCCUUGUACACACCGCCCGUCACACCAUGGGAGUGGGUUGCAAAAGAAGUAGGUAGCUUAACCUUCGGGAGGGCGCUUACCACUUUGUGAUUCAUGACUGGGGUGAAGUCGUAACAAGGUAACCGUAGGGGAACCUGCGGUUGGAUCACCU
Molecule: ribosomal RNA, 1530 nt
Filed under: Escherichia coli KTE23
Lineage: Bacteria; Pseudomonadati; Pseudomonadota; Gammaproteobacteria; Enterobacterales; Enterobacteriaceae
Description: bacterial SSU rRNA
Rfam family: Bacterial small subunit ribosomal RNA
Source: RNAcentral